RNAcentral lists this long non-coding RNA (271 nucleotides) under Panax ginseng (ginseng). RNAcentral describes it as "long non-coding RNA (PGIN_LNC003825)". Lineage: Eukaryota; Viridiplantae; Streptophyta; Magnoliopsida; Apiales; Araliaceae. The record is from RNAcentral.
CUUUCUUUUCUCUGUCUCUGAUAUCUUAUAGAGCUCUUUAUAUCAUUUGGUUUUCUGCAGGAAAAUUGUUCCUUUGAGCAUCAGAAUCAUUUGUAUAACCCUUUAUAUAUAUAGUAUCCAUAAAUUUCUCAAAACUUAUCUUUGUAGCUUUCUUCUUUUGACUUGAAGAACCAACUCACAAAUUUCUAAUAUUUCUUCAAUAAAAGUCUUAAUCCGUCACGUUUAAAUCCAAUCCCAUCCCUUCCCUUCCUCCCACAGAUCAUCAUUUCCA